This 468-nucleotide ribosomal RNA is filed under the name uncultured bacterium. RNAcentral describes it as "partial 16S ribosomal RNA". It matches the Rfam family "Bacterial small subunit ribosomal RNA", at positions 28 to 507 of the family's 1533-position model. The record is from RNAcentral.
GACGAACGCUGGCGGCGUGCUUAACACAUGCAAGUCGAACGGAAAGGCCCUGCUUUUGUGGGGUGCUCGAGUGGCGAACGGGUGAGUAACCCGUGAUUAACCUUCCCUUGACUUUGGGAUAACUUCAGGAAACUGGGGCUAAUACCGGAUAGGAGCUCCUGCUGCAUGGUGGGGGUUGGAAAGUUUCGGCGGUUGGGGAUGGACUCGCGGCUUAUCAGCUUGUUGGUGGGGUAGUGGCUUACCAAGGCUUUGACGGGUAGCCGGCCUGAGAGGGUGACCGGCCACAUUGGGACUGAGAUACGGCCCAGACUCAUACGGGAGGCAGCAGUGGGGAAUAUUGCACAAUGGGCGGAAGCCUGAUGCAGCAACGCCGCGUGCGGGAUGACGGCCUUCGGGUUGUAAACCGCUUUCGCCUGUGACGAAGCGUGAGUGACGGUAAUGGGUAAAGAAGCACCGGCUAACUACGUG